UCUCGGCCUUUUGGCUAAGAUCAAGUGUAGUAUCUGUUCUUAUCAGUUUCAGAUCAGAUAAUUGCUACUUGUGACGA
Molecule: small nuclear RNA, 77 nt
Organism: Xenopus tropicalis (tropical clawed frog)
Lineage: Eukaryota; Metazoa; Chordata; Amphibia; Anura; Pipidae
Gene: U2
Rfam family: U2 spliceosomal RNA
About the family: U2 is a small nuclear RNA (snRNA) component of the spliceosome (involved in pre-mRNA splicing). Complementary binding between U2 snRNA (in an area lying towards the 5' end but 3' to hairpin I) and the branchpoint sequence (BPS) of the intron results the bulging out of an unpaired adenosine, on the BPS, which initiates a nucleophilic attack at the intronic 5' splice site, thus starting the first of two transesterification reactions that mediate splicing.
Source: Ensembl